CGACCUGCUUCUGGGUCGGGGUUUCGU
This 27-nucleotide non-coding RNA is filed under the name Macaca fascicularis (crab-eating macaque). The record is from RNAcentral. Lineage: Eukaryota; Metazoa; Chordata; Mammalia; Primates; Cercopithecidae. RNAcentral also lists the same sequence under 5 other names.